RNAcentral lists this ribosomal RNA (482 nucleotides) under uncultured bacterium. RNAcentral describes it as "bacterial SSU rRNA". It matches the Rfam family "Bacterial small subunit ribosomal RNA", at positions 29 to 506 of the family's 1533-position model. The record is from RNAcentral.
UUGAACGCUGGCGGCAUGCCUUACACAUGCAAGUCGAACGGUAACGCGGUGCAACCUGGCGACGAGUGGCGAACGGGUGAGUAAUACAUCGGAACGUACCUGGUAGUGGGGGAUAGCCCGGCGAAAGCCGGAUUAAUACCGCAUACGACCUGAGGGUGAAAGCGGGGGACCUGAGAGGGCCUCGCGCUAUUGGAGCGGCCGAUGGCAGAUUAGCUAGUUGGUGGGGUAAAGGCCCACCAAGGCGACGAUCUGUAGCUGGUCUGAGAGGACGACCAGCCACACUGGGACUGAGACACGGCCCAGACUCCUACGGGAGGCAGCAGUGGGGAAUUUUGGACAAUGGGCGCAAGCCUGAUCCAGCCAUGCCGCGUGCGGGAAGAAGGCCUUCGGGUUGUAAACCGCUUUUGUCGGGGAAGAAACGGCUCUGGUUAAUACCUGGGGCUAAUGACGGUACCUGAAGAAUAAGCACCGGCUAACUACGU